GUGUCUUUAAAUCUUAAAAGUUUUAACAUAUACUUUAAAUACAAUGUAUUUAAAAAUCUCACUUAAUAUUUAAGUGGAAUAUUUAAUUUAAAUAUCUAUGUUUUAAAAUAAAAAUAGGAGUUGAGUAUAUGUCAAUGAGUAGGUAACCAAGCGACACGAAAUAUCGAAAAGAUAUCUAGAGUUCAAAAUAUGGUCUUCAAAAAAGACAUAUGUCUAUAGAAUGUGUAAAGCUUUUUCUCACCCAAAGCCUCUUAAAAUUUUGAACUGAUCAAAAAGAUUAUCGAAAAUGUAAUUACUUGAAUGCCAAAAAAAACCAAAAAUAACAUUGAGAUACAACAAAAGGUCAUAGUGAUUCAAAUGUAAAGUUUUGCAUGAGAACAUUGUACCAUGUACAUCAACUUUAUAUCACUUCUUUUCCAAUUUAUACGGACUUUUACAAUUAUUCAACCGGCGCAUAUGUGAUUUAUUUUGCACGCUCUUUAUUGUUAAACGGAAAGAAGGAGUACAUGUUGGAGAUUGUGCACAUACGCAAGAUUUUAAUUUCAAAUGUUCUAUUGCAAUAGAUAUGUUUUAUUUGCCAAAUCUGAUAAAUUCCAUUUCGAAAAUUUCCCGCCAAAUACUGCAUUAUAUUUGUACUUAGUUAUGUAUAUGUAUGAAAAGGCUAUAGCUAUUUGAAAAUGUUGGAAGUGAAUGAAAAAGUUGAAGACAGAAAUUUCAUAAUAUUCUUUUUAACGUUAUUUAAUGCUGAUGCAAGCUGUACAUUAUAUUUCAGGACCAAUGUUGACAUUUGUCUCUAGAGGAGUUUUGUCUCUUUGGAUUUCUGGCUCAUUGACAUAUGGCUUUUGUCAUCUUUCAAUCCUAUUUUACACUGUUGUGAAGUGUUUAUUUGUGCUUUAAAAUUCAACAUUAUUUCUCUUUUCGUCCUUGGUAAAGCAAGAUCUUCAACUGCUGAAGGAUUUUUGUUUGUAAUUGUACAUUUAUAUCUAAGGAAGAUUAUGCAAAUAUUACAACCAAACGACAAAACAGAAACUAAAUCUUUCUUCGGAUUUUAGAACAGUAGGAAUGUGUCUUUUAUGUUGAUAUACAAAUAUUUUUAAAUAAAAAUAGUAAAAUAUUCAAAUUACAUACAAGAGAACAUCAUCAAAUUUAAACAAUUUGCAACCACAACAAGCGCAUAACCAUACAAUAGUGCUAAUUAAAAACAUCUAAAAAAACAUUUAAAAAUUCUAAUUAUUAAUAAUAAAUAUAGAAAUCUAUACGAUUCUAAAAGGGGAAUUAGCUGUCAAAUUUGUGUCCACUGAUUUGACACCAAUUCUGAUAUUUGAUUUAUAACUUACUUAUAUGUAUAUUCAAAAUUUAAAAAAAUCUAAAAUAAACAGGUUACGAUGAUUGAAGUCGAUAAUUUUUAUGAGCAUUUCAUGUUUAUUUAGUCUAGAUGCCAUCUAAUAAACCAUCGAGGUGACAUAUGAAGACUGCCGAUGGUCAUAUAACCGGAUUUAAACAUAUUAUAGAUGUUUGGGACCAUUUAUAGCUUGCUGGUAGGUGUGAGACAAGGCUCCACGUUGAAGGCCGUACCUUGACCUAUAAUGGUUUACUUUUUAUAGAUUGUUUCUUGGAUGGAGAGUUGUCUUAUUGGCACUCAUACCACAUCUUCCUAUAUCUAUAACUAUAUAGCGAACACAUGCUAUAUAGUCUUUUUGAUUUCAUAUUAUAGGUCUAUAAUAUAUGUGAAUCAUCGUUGUUAUAAGCCUGAUACCUUUGACAACUAAUUAAUAGUAUAAGAAUGAUUUUUUUUUGUGGAUCGAAUAAGUCAACCAAAUAAUUCAUCCUGGUUUCACCUUCAAUGUUGAAAUUCUUUUCCUAUUAAUAUCAAAAUUCACCUAAUAUUUAUUUUUUUAGAUUCCGUAGCUAAUGCCCCUUUAACACAACAUUAAACAGUUUUAACUAUGUUAAAAUUCAAUUGAAUCAACUCAACAAAUAAGGGAGACAUUGGUUAAUAAAAAUAUAAAGGAGUAGGUCCAGUAAGACCCCUUUUUGGCCCCAAAAUAUAGCAGUUUUACAAAAUUGUUAAAAUGUAAACUUUUAGUCAUUUAUUGGAUAGUAGAAAGGUUCUGUUACAUUAAUAUGGGCUCUUUUUGACAAU
Molecule: long non-coding RNA, 2143 nt
Filed under: Mytilus galloprovincialis (Mediterranean mussel)
Lineage: Eukaryota; Metazoa; Mollusca; Bivalvia; Mytilida; Mytilidae
Source: RNAcentral